UACGUAGGGGGCAAGCGUUAUCCGGAUUUACUGGGUGUAAAGGGAGCGUAGACGGCAGCGCAAGUCUGGAGUGAAAUCCCAUGGCUUAACCAUGGAACUGCUUUGGAAACUGUGCAGCUGGAGUGCAGGAGAGGUAAGCGGAAUGCGUGGUGUAGCGGUGAAAUGCAUAGAUAUCACGCAGAACGCCGAUUGCGAAGGCAGCUUACCGGCGCUCAACUGACGCUGAGGCACGAAAGUGCGGGUAUCGAACAGG
RNAcentral lists this ribosomal RNA (253 nucleotides) under uncultured bacterium. Its description in RNAcentral is "partial 16S ribosomal RNA". It matches the Rfam family "Bacterial small subunit ribosomal RNA", at positions 524 to 776 of the family's 1533-position model. The record is from RNAcentral.